AGCGCUUUCAGCAGCUAGCAACGCAUAGCGAAGAGGUGCUGGGAUCUCGUGAGGAGAGAGGGCUUUUCCCAGUGCCCGGACAGUGUGCUCAGUCUGCAGAGAUGCCAGCCAGACAACUUAACACCUGCCAGAAGGACAGAGGGGGCCUGAGGCUCCUUUUCCGGCUGCUUCCCAUCCUGUUCACUCUUGGCUACUGGUGCGGUGCGACGAUGUGGCUCAAGGAUGUGUUGUGGG
This is a long non-coding RNA of Pezoporus flaviventris, 234 nucleotides long. RefSeq lists it as uncharacterized. NCBI's taxonomy places the organism in Eukaryota, Metazoa, Chordata, Aves, Psittaciformes, Psittacidae. The transcript is spliced from 3 exons. The record is from RefSeq and is a predicted model, not a curated record.